RNAcentral lists this ribosomal RNA (292 nucleotides) under uncultured bacterium. RNAcentral describes it as "partial 16S ribosomal RNA". It matches the Rfam family "Bacterial small subunit ribosomal RNA", at positions 505 to 796 of the family's 1533-position model. The record is from RNAcentral.
GUGCCAGCAGCCGCGGUAAGACGGAGGGUGCGAGCGUUGUUCGGAAUUACUGGGCGUAAAGCGCGCGCAGGUGGGUGCGUAAGUCGGAGGUGAAAGCGCAGGGCUCAACCCUGCGACGCCCUUCGAGACUGCGUGUCUAGGGACCGGUAGAGGUGAGUGGAAUUCCCGGUGUAGCGGUGGAAUGCGUAGAUAUCGGGAAGAACACCGGAGGCGAAGGCGGCUCACUGGGCCGGAUCCGACACUGAGGCGCGAAAGCGUGGGGAGCAAACAGGAUUAGAAACCCCCGUAGUCC